RNAcentral lists this ribosomal RNA (435 nucleotides) under uncultured bacterium. Its description in RNAcentral is "partial 16S ribosomal RNA". It matches the Rfam family "Bacterial small subunit ribosomal RNA", at positions 28 to 507 of the family's 1533-position model. The record is from RNAcentral.
GAUGAACGCUGGCGGUAUGCUUAACACAUGCCAGUCGAACGGACUCUUCGGAGUUAGUGGCGGACGGGUGAGUAACGCGUGAGAAUCUGGCUUUGGGUUCGGGACAACCACUGGAAACGGUGGCUAAUACCGGAUGUGCCGAGAGGUAAAAGAGAAAUUGCCUGAAGAUGAGCUCGCGUCUGAUUAGCUAGUUGGUGAGGUAAAGGCUCACCAAGGCAGCGAUCAGUAGCUGGUCUGAGAGGAUGACCAGCCACACUGGGACUGAGACACGGCCCAGACUCCUACGGGAGGCAGCAGUGGGGAAUUUUCCGCAAUGGGCGAAAGCCUGACGGAGCAGUACCGCGUGAGGGAAGAAGGCUCUUGGGUUGUAAACCUCUUUUCUUAGGGAAGAACAAAAUGACGGUACCUAAGGAAUCAGCAUCGGCUAACUCCGUG